AGAAUGAGGUUGAGCCAAGGAUGACUUGCCGGGUUUUUUUUUCCAAUGAGUCUUAACUGAUUUUGGUGUCCGGCAAGUUGACCUUGGCUCUGUUUCCUUCUCU
RNAcentral lists this microRNA precursor (103 nucleotides) under Arabidopsis halleri subsp. gemmifera. Lineage: Eukaryota; Viridiplantae; Streptophyta; Magnoliopsida; Brassicales; Brassicaceae. The record is from RNAcentral.